UUGACAAGCAUAUUUAUCAAUUUAGAAAAUUCCAUAUGAUGUUCAGCAUCGAUUGAUUGACCGGAAAGAGUUACGAGAUGGUUCUCUUAUGAUUGAACAAUACUUCAUCACUAGCAAAUUAAGUCAAUGCAAGAUUCUUGUGGGGAAGAAUGGCUCAAAAAUUGGAUAACUUGAGAAUAGGAAUUGAAGCCAAUGAAGAGCUAAGGUCCAUUUUCAAAAAGCAAGUGCAUCUAAUUCUCCGAGUCAGGCAUAAAAAAUGAAUCAGGCAAAUAGAUUUGAUGUUGAAGUAUACCUUCUUUGCCACACCAUGUUAUGCUGUAUGUGAAAUGCCAAAGCUGUGGCGUGUAUUACCCUUACACUUGAAGUCUGCAAAGUAACAAAACCAUGCUAGAUGUCAUGGUGAUCAUGGAGAAAAUCAUGGGUACAGUGACACAGGUUGAGUUCAUUGGUAAUCACACAAACAAACUUUUGUGCCAUUUACCAUUUGGUAUCCCUUGUUUAAAGAGUUGGACUCGUGAAGUUUAUUGUGUGCAUGAACUUCAGAAGGAAAUUUCCAUAUUUUGUUUUUGUUUACUCAAAUAUAAUUUGUUUUUUUACAUGUUUUUAUCAAAAUGGAUAAUUAGCACAUGUGGUCUUUAGUUGUAUGAUUCUUACUUUGGGUGCUCUUAAAAUUACCCAUGGCCCCUCCCCACAUGGUGAGAUAAGAGACUUUGUUAUUGUAUAAUCUUAUGUACAGCAAUUUUGAUGAUCAAA
This is a long non-coding RNA of Glycine soja, 753 nucleotides long. RefSeq lists it as uncharacterized. The record is from RefSeq and is a predicted model, not a curated record. The transcript has 2 exons. Lineage: Eukaryota; Viridiplantae; Streptophyta; Magnoliopsida; Fabales; Fabaceae.